AUUGAACGCUGGCGGCAUGCCUUAUACAUGCAAGUCGAACGGUAACAGGCCGCAAGGUGCUGUCGAGUGGCGAAGGGGUGCGUAAUGCAUAGGAAUGUGUCCAGUCGCGGGGGAUAACUACUCGAAAGAGUAGCUCAUACCGCAUACGAUCUAAGGAUGAAAGCGGGGGACUGCAAGGCCUAGAGCGAUCGGAGCGGCCGCUGUCAGAUUAGGUAGUUUGUGGGGUAAAGGCUCACCAAGCGAACGAUUUGUAGCUGGUCUGAGAGGACGAACAGCCACACUGGGACUGGGGCACGGCCCAGACUCCUACGGGGAGCAAGAGGGGGGAAAUUUGGACAAAGGGGGCAAACCCGGUCCAACAAAGCCGCGUGCAGGGAGGAGGCCUUCGGGUUGGUAACUGCUUUUGUACAGGACGGAACAACUCUGGUUAAAACCCGGGGCUAAUGACGGUAACGUAAGAAUAAGGACCGGCUAACUACGGG
RNAcentral lists this ribosomal RNA (482 nucleotides) under uncultured bacterium. RNAcentral's name for it is "partial 16S ribosomal RNA". It matches the Rfam family "Bacterial small subunit ribosomal RNA", at positions 29 to 507 of the family's 1533-position model. The record is from RNAcentral.